GCAAACUUGGUCAUUUAGAGGAAGUAAAAGUCGUAACAAGGUUUCCGUAGGUGAACCUGCGGAAGGAUCAUUACAAAUCCAUCACGUCUCCACACCGAGACCUUUGUUGAACCCGUUUUCGAGAGCGUGCGCGCACGCGCGCGCGCCUCUCCCUACUUCACUAGUAGACCCCCUCGUUACCGUUGUUGCUCAUGUGUAUACAUGUACAUCAUAACGAACGAACAACUUACAACAAUGGAUCUCUAGGCUCUUGCAUCGAUGAAGAACGCAGC
This 272-nucleotide unclassified non-coding RNA is filed under the name uncultured fungus. Its description in RNAcentral is "partial contains small subunit ribosomal RNA, internal transcribed spacer 1, and 5.8S ribosomal RNA". The stretch from base 1 to 73 matches the Rfam family "Eukaryotic small subunit ribosomal RNA", at positions 1759 to 1831 of the family's 1831-position model. Lineage: Eukaryota; Fungi. The record is from RNAcentral.